CUUAGAGCUAGAUGAAGGUAUAUUCAUUUCUGCUUAAUUAUUCAUCUGUCAGGUGUUUAGGAACUUGUAGAUUUAUUUAGAAGCUGGUUCAUGGAGUUUCUGAUUUGUGUUAGUUUGAAGAUUCAUUAUUGUUGUACAAGUCCUUUCUCUACAUGUCUCCAGUGCCCUUAUCAUACAGCAUGUGAGUGUCAUUGGACAAUGUAGUGUGUGACUGAAAGAAGCUCAUGAGGCAUUUGGUGUGGAAUAUGGCCUUUAUUUUAUUGCCACUCUAUUGAGGGUUUUUUUUUUUUUUUAAUCUUUACACUUAUAAUAAGUGGAAUACUACCCUCCUCCCGACCCCCAGAAAAGCUGUCUACAUUUUAAUCCUUGGAACCUAUUGUCUUGCUUGGCAAAGAGACUCUGAAGAUCUGAUUAGGUUGAGAAUUCUGAGACAGAGAGACUAUCCUGAAUUAUCUGGGUGGGCCAAAUGUAAUUACAAGGGUCUUUAUAAGAGAAAACCAGGAAAUUCAGAGUGAGAGGAAGGUUUAAAAAAUACAUUGCUGAUUUUGAAAAUAGAGGAAGGGGCUAUCCAAGAAGUGCAGACAAGUUCCAGAAACUGGAAAAGAUAGGGAAGCAGGGUCUCUCCUGGAGCCACCAGAAAGGAAUGGAUCCCUGACAUCUUCAUUUUAACCCAGCGAUUACUUUUUUUUGGAUUUAUGAGUUGUUGUAAGCCAUUAUAUUUCUACUAAUUUGUUAUAACAUUAAUGGAGACUAGUAAAAUGCCCCCCAGAAUUGCAAAAUUUGGACAGGGGAACAACAUCAAGUAUUUGAAAAUAUGAAGAGAUGGGAAGGUUGUAACUGCUUGUGAACGUAUAGCCUGGUUUUUCCAUUCUGGAAAGCAAUUUGGAAAUAUUUUGUAAAAUUAAGUGUGUAUUUGUUCUAUGACCCAGAGAUCUUGCUGCUAGAUAUAUAUCCCAGAGAAAUAUUUUCAUAUAGUUCUAUACAGAUAGUUGUGUUCAAGUCUAUUUGUAUAGCAUAAUUAGUGCUAGUGGAAAUUAGAAGGCUAUCUAAGUAUUUACUUUUGGUUAAAAAUUAUUUAUUUAUUUUGUUGUUGUUCAGUCCCUCAACAUCAGCUGUGUCUGACUCUUUGUGACCCCAUAGACUGCGGCACACCAGGUUUCCUGUCCUUCACUAUCCCCAGUGUAUGGUCACACUCAUG
This 1198-nucleotide long non-coding RNA is filed under the name Bos grunniens (domestic yak). RNAcentral's name for it is "lncRNA (ENSBGRG00000006510.1)". The record is from RNAcentral. Lineage: Eukaryota; Metazoa; Chordata; Mammalia; Artiodactyla; Bovidae.